UCGAUGGUGGCCAAUCAAACUGGACAGACAGUGGAUUUAGGGCCGAUGCCUCCCUUUCCGGGGCCGGCGCCAAACAUGCCAUCGAAGGAAAAUUUCGCUGCGGAGUACUAUGGGAGAACAACGGGAACGGGAUGUUCCGGAAACCAGGGUGGUGGGAGGGAGAUCACACCGGUUCAUCAUGGUGGUCCUUCUCCCGGUGCUACACCCGGUACUUCUCCCGGUACUUCUCCCGGUCCUUCUCCCGGUGGUUCUUCCGCAGCUUCUACCGGAAGGAAUCGGCCCGGGCCGGUGUCUAGCGGCGACGAGCUCCUCUAGUUGUCGCAUUGUAUCUCUUAUCGACACUAUGGCACCAUGCAUGUAUGCACACUAUGGCACUAUGUAUGCAUCCCAUGUCACUAUGACACUAUGUAUGCAACCUAUGGUACUAUGACACUAUGUAUGCACUUGAUGUUAUAUGUAUUUGCACUUCAUGCC
Molecule: non-coding RNA, 474 nt
Organism: Lolium perenne
Lineage: Eukaryota; Viridiplantae; Streptophyta; Magnoliopsida; Poales; Poaceae
Source: RefSeq, a predicted model, not a curated record